Molecule: ribosomal RNA, 479 nt
Filed under: uncultured bacterium
Lineage: Bacteria
Description: bacterial SSU rRNA
Rfam family: Bacterial small subunit ribosomal RNA
Source: RNAcentral
CGUCAGGACGAACGCUGGCGGCGUGCUUAACACAUGCAAGUCGAGCGAUGAAGCUCCUUCGGGAGUGGAUUAGCGGCGGACGGGUGAGUAACACGUGGGUAACCUGCCUCAUAGAGGGGAAUAGCCUUUCGAAAGGAAGAUUAAUACCGCAUAAGAUUGUAGUACCGCAUGGUACAGCAAUUAAAGGAGUAAUCCGCUAUGAGAUGGACCCGCGUCGCAUUAGCUAGUUGGUGAGGUAACGGCUCACCAAGGCGACGAUGCGUAGCCGACCUGAGAGGGUGAUCGGCCACAUUGGGACUGAGACACGGCCCAGACUCCUACGGGAGGCAGCAGUGGGGAAUAUUGCACAAUGGGGGAAACCCUGAUGCAGCAACGCCGCGUGAGUGAUGACGGCCUUCGGGUUGUAAAACUCUGUCUUUGGGGACGAUAAUGACGGUACCCAAGGAGGAAGCCACGGCUAACUACGUGCCAGCCGCUGC